AGCCCCUGGCAACCACUGUCUACUUUCUGUCUCCAUGGAUUUGACUACAGCGUGUCUAAGUGGGAUCAUUCAGUAUUUGUCCUUUUGUGACUGGCCUAUUUCACCCCUCUGUUUUAUACCUUUCUGCGGCAUGGCGCUUUGGCUUUCUAUGUUCUGCGGCGGUGGGUGGUAAAGUGGAUGUCCUGCUUUUAAUUCUGAGGGCUCGCUUCUCAGUUUUCAAAAACACACUUUAAUCUCUGGUUCUCCAAUUAUCAAGCAUUUGCCAUGAAAUGAUACUUGCUGCUCCCUAGCACUGCAGACUCUGUAAGAGACAUCUCAGUCAGCAUUCGGAUUAAGUCAAGCCCCAGGAAUCCGCACCUCCUCCACCUCAUCACCCAGUAAAAAAAGGUAACGCUGAGGUAUGAGAACAUUCACAUUAGUUCCAUACGCACGCCCUCGCAUGGGCCUGAGAGCACCCAGGUUCUGGUGCGAGUCCCCCACAGCCCAGGGAGGUGUUUCAGGACUAGCGCCCUGCUCAGUGCUGUGGGCUGCACAAGGGGCCAACUGAGGACUCCUCAGCCCAGGAGGGGCAGAGGCUGGGGACCACCCCAUGGGCUUCCAAGAUGGCCUUGGGGCCACAGGGAUUAUGGACAGGCUUGUACCUCCAAAGCCUUUCCAGAGAGGAAGGGACUCCACUUCCUGCUUUGGCUUGGAAAAAGUCCAGGGAAGCACCUUGAUUGGCCUGACUCAGGUCACAUGACAUUCCCUCUGUCCAAUCACUGUGGCCAAGAGAAUGAGAUAUUGUCAUUGGCCCAGCCAGGAUCAGAGCUUUCCCCUGCUGCCUGGAGCAGGUCUGUCUCCAGGAGAGAGGGCUAGCCUUCAGCCUUACCUGCUGCCCCGUGAAGAACUGUCAGUCCUACUUUGCAGGUGGAGAAAUUGAGGCCCCAAGCAGGGGAAGACUCACUGGGGUCACAUGACACAUGCUGGCCAACCCAGGCCCUGCUCAUGUUUCAGCACAAUGACCCUGCUCUGCCUCCCUCCCCAAGACUCUGGGCUGUGCAACCGGGGCCAGACCUGCUCCUUCAGCUGCACCAAAGCCUGGCUGUGCCUCUGCGUGUCAGUGGCCAAGCCCUAAGCCUGGAGCCGUCCAGAGCCGCACGGAACUCCAGGCCUGCAGGGUGGAGUAGACAUGGCUCCUCCUGGGUCGUACACCACCUCGUUAGAGCCAAAGCAGCAUCGAUUUUGUGAAUGAUGAGCAUGUCGUUGUGUCCAAGCCAGGCAGAUGCAGCUGAGCAGUGGCAGAUGGGCAUGGAGCCGGGAUGUCCACUCCCUGGGCCCUGGCUGUGGAUGGGCCAGAGGGCUCAGGUGCCAUUUCAGUUGGCCAGGGAAGGUGCAUUUGGAGAGUGUCAACAUACUGUUUGUCUUCUGCUGUGCAAAGUCUUCUCAACUUGUAAUUUAAAGAUAAAAUUGUU
Chlorocebus sabaeus (green monkey) is the source of this 1451-nucleotide long non-coding RNA. RefSeq lists it as uncharacterized. NCBI's taxonomy places the organism in Eukaryota, Metazoa, Chordata, Mammalia, Primates, Cercopithecidae. The record is from RefSeq and is a predicted model, not a curated record.